This 2689-nucleotide long non-coding RNA is filed under the name Pan troglodytes (chimpanzee). RNAcentral describes it as "lincRNA". Lineage: Eukaryota; Metazoa; Chordata; Mammalia; Primates; Hominidae. The record is from RNAcentral.
GCACAAUAACAGCUGGCACUGGGGUGCGGGAGGACGGUGAAAGCUCGAGUCCCAGGCUCCAAAUCCUCCAGGAGUAACUGGGGUGACCCGAGGAGAGCAGCGCACUGGAUAUCAGAUGUUUCACUGCAGAAAUGCUGAUGUGUUGGAUUACAGGAUUCCUGGCCACUCUCUCUGGUUGCCAGCCCAGCACCAAGCCUCCCAGACAUUGAUUCUCUGCUGCUCUGUGGCAUAGAAGACUACAGUGAUGGGCUCUGCAGACUUCGCCUUGGAGUCCCCCUUUCAUCCCUGCUCAUUAGUCUCCUCCUUGGUUGUUUGGAGGGGACUUUUUCCUAAUGCCAAGGGACAAGGCCACCUACAUCCCAAGCCAGCUGGAAAAGCAGCUUCCAGUCUUCAGAGAUGGGCCCCUCUUCUUCAGUUGGCCUUGGUAGUCAGGACAGAGGACAGAGGGGUAUAUUGUAACAUAUAUCGUAAAAUUUGAGCCACAUACACGGGAUAAAAGACAACGCAAAUAAUCAUCUCCGAAAAGAAAUCUGACAUCCGACGACUUAGAGGCCAGAGCCAUUGCUGACGCUCCUGGGGAUGAACAUUCUUUGCAAGCAUUUGUGCCUCAGUGAGGGUGGUGGGGAGCCAGCAAAGUGCUGGGCUCUGCAGAAAUCUAGGGGGCUGCCUGGGUGAUGUACAAAUGCAGACCUAUUACAUCAAUAGAAAAAUGUAAUGUGUUCAUUACUAUCAAGGCGGAGUGCUUUUUAAAUUCACCAUUUCUGAAAGACUCAGGAUUAAUGUCAAACUGUAUGAAAAGACCCAGCCUUUCACCUUUCUUUCUCUUGACCAUAGAAUGCGGGUCUAGUAGGGGGAGAGCAAAGGGGGCACUUUAGAAGAAUUGUGAAGCAAGCACAGACAGGGUCACAGAGAGCCCUGGUAUAGCAGAGGUCCACCCCCACCCUGGUGUCCUCAUACACAUUAUCGCACUAAGGAACUAGGCAGAACUCUAAGAAGGGCUGGUGAAAGAGAGAAGACCCGGGGACUCAGCACAUUGGCUGUGCUGACAUAUGUGAGCCUGAGUUGGAAGAUGGCAUGAAUUUAGACUGAAGCCAAGACCCCCUCCCUCAAAAACAGCAUUUAUAGAUGUUAGAGGGCAGAAAGGCAAAGUCAGAGGAAGCCUAAGGUUAAGUGAGUACGUACCCUGCACCGGGCACUAUCCAAGGUACUUUACAUGAAUUCUUAAAGAGCUUCUGAGAUAUAAAUAUUAUUAUAAAACCCAUUUGACUAAUGGAAACCUGAGGGUCAGAGAGGUUAAAUAAUGCACUAAAUGACAUACUUGAGGUCACCGAGAUAGAGAGUGGCAUAUUCAGAAUCAGAAACUAAAUCUGUAAUACCUCCCAGGCUCAUGUUCCUUUUAUGCCACAUGCCAUGUGUAGCCCCAAUGUCAAGGGCUAGGGGUGGGGAAAAAGAGCAGACAGAAGGCAGGAUGAGACUCCCUGGAGGUCUGAGGGAAGGAACAUCCUGGUGUAGGAAUAUUGUGCCUGCAAGGUUGCUGAGAUAUGUCUGUACACAGCCUGGUGAAUCUGGAAGUGUUGAAGAAAUGGCUUUUUUUUGUUGUUUUGUUCUGUUUUUUUAAACAGGAGCCAGAAACCAGAGGGAUCCCUAAGAGGACCAAGACAGCUGCAGAGCAAGUCCAGGUUACCCUGAAACUGAAGGUGUGAAGGUGCAAGCUCAGAGCCCAAACCCAAAGGCCACCAUACAGAUGGGGGACUGGUGGGCCACCAGCAUUCCUGGGGCUCAGUGUGAGUGCAGGCAGCAUGGACAGGGGGUGACAACAUACAGUGAGGGUGGGGGCAGGCCAUGUCCUGGCUUCAUGAGACAGGCUAAUGUUGUUUGCAUGCCCAGCUAUUUACAAUCAGGAGACUGAACUGUGACUCUGCAGAGGCUUAUACCAGCUAUAUACAGGAGCCCUUUUUCUUGUAUGCUUUGCCCACUGUAGACACUCACGACUGUAGGGAUCCCAGGUAGGAAGGUAAUGAGGGAGACUAGGCUCCAUCUAGCAACCAUAUGUGCAGAAAUGACAAAGAAAACAGGACCUAGAGUCUGGAGAGAGGGUAGGUGGGGUUCUUCUGACUUCUCAGAGUACAGAGUCACAUGGUUUCCCAGAAAGCAAGGUUCACAGGACACAUGCAUAUGGACAUGAACACAAGAAGAGUCUCGAUCAUAAGGCUGGGCCUCCAGGAACCUGAGGAAAGCUGCCCAGCCAUGCCUCAUGGAGAGUGAAUGUUUAAAAAUCAGAAGGUCAUUCAAGACUGAGGACAUCUCUGGAACCAGGUUUUAAGGCUGUCCUCUUAGCAGGUGGGUUUUGUCCACUCUUCAGCUCCACCGCUGACAUUGUCAGACUUUUUCCUGUAGGCACCAGAGUCACGGGGCCUAUGACAAUGUUUCAGAUCUUGAAAAUACAUUAUGAGUCCAAAAUAUGAAACAAGAACUAUAAAAAUCCCAUUGAUACACAUUUUAUUAGUAUACCCAAAGUUCAUUAAUUUAAUAUUUGUGCUGGGUGUGGUGGCUUUACACCUGUAAUCUCGGUGCUUUGGGAGGCCAAGGUUGGAGGACUGCUUGAAGCCAGGAGUUUGAGACCUGCCUGGGCGACACAGGGAGACCCCACAUCUCUACAAAAAAUAAAGAUAAAAAUUAGCUGGGCGCA